GUCGGGGUAGCUCAGCCUGGCGGAGCGCUAGACUCAUAAUCUAGAGGUCGCGGGUUCAAACCCCGUCCCCGACA
RNAcentral lists this transfer RNA (74 nucleotides) under Thermoplasmatota archaeon. RNAcentral's name for it is "Candidatus Thermoplasmatota archaeon tRNA-Met". It matches the Rfam family "tRNA". Rfam says of the family: Transfer RNA (tRNA) molecules are approximately 80 nucleotides in length. RNAcentral also lists the same sequence under 3 other names. The record is from RNAcentral. Lineage: Archaea; Methanobacteriati; Thermoplasmatota.